Long non-coding RNA from Ceratitis capitata (Mediterranean fruit fly), 318 nucleotides. RefSeq lists it as uncharacterized. The transcript has 3 exons. The record is from RefSeq and is a predicted model, not a curated record. Lineage: Eukaryota; Metazoa; Arthropoda; Insecta; Diptera; Tephritidae.
UAUUCAUCAUUUUCAAAAUCAUCAUUCAAUCGGUCAAUCGGAACAACAAGUCGCCUUUCCAUAAUCCACAAGCUACCAAAUCUAAAAAUUGUAGCCAAAGGCCAUAAGGAACUCUAAAAUUCAACAUGGAUGUCGUGAAAAUAAUGGGACCAAUACUAUUGUAUAUUAAUUCUGCAUUGCAGUUGAUUCUUAUCAAAAAAAUAUAUGAAUGGUAGCAGGACUAUAGAUAUUUAAGCUAUUAUAUAGUUAGUGUUAGUAAAAUAUAAAAUGUCUUUAGGAUUUGACCAUCGAAUAUAUUAAAUAUUGUAUAUUGCUUAC